UGGGGGAUAUUGCACAAUGGGCGAAAGCCUGAUGCAGCGACGCCGCGUGGGGGAUGAAGGCUUUCGGGUUGUAAACCUCUUUCGCUAUCGAACAAGGCCCGCUUAGGGUGGGUUGAGGGUAGGUGGAGAAGAAGCGCCGGCUAACUACGUGCCAGCAGCCGCGGUAAUACGUAGGGCGCGAGCGUUGUCCGGAAUUAUUGGGCGUAAAGGGCUGGUAGGCGGCUUGUUGCGCCUGCUGUGAAAACGCGGGGCUUAACUUCGCGCGUGGAGUGGGUACGGGCAGGCUUGAGUGUGGUAGGGGUGACUGGAAUUCCAGGUGUAGCGGUGGAAUGCGCAGAUAUCUGGAGGAACACCGAUGGCGAAGGCAGGUCACUGGGCCAUUACUGACGCUGAGGAGCGAAAGCAUGGGUAGCGAACAGG
RNAcentral lists this ribosomal RNA (420 nucleotides) under bacterium. Its description in RNAcentral is "partial 16S ribosomal RNA". It matches the Rfam family "Bacterial small subunit ribosomal RNA", at positions 355 to 776 of the family's 1533-position model. The record is from RNAcentral.